GUGAUAUUCUGUGAUGAUGGAUGAUCUUACGGAGCAUUGGCGACCUCUUUGAUUAUCUGAAACAGAGGAAUCUCCUAUUCGCUUUUGAUACUACGAAAUGCUUCAUGUUUAAGCUUUUGACUGUGAAGUUUUAUAAUAAGGAGGCGUUCAAAAGGAUGAUGAAGAAUUUAUGGCAUCCUUUACGAUUUAUGACAUGGGGGAAAACUUAUUUUUGGUAGCUUGCUCUACACAAGGUGAAAAAGAGCGGAUACUAUCAAACGAACCCUGGAGUUUUGGAAAUAGUCUGGUCAUAUGCACUGAUUAUGAUGGGAAUUUACAGAUAACUAAAGUACCUAUGUUAUUUGCUUCUUUCUGGAUGCGCAUUUAUGAUUUACCAUUGGAUGUGAUGAAUGCACGGGCAGUUCGGAAAAUUUCAGAAACUAAGGUGAUAUUCUUGAUGUUGAUCUCAUUGAGUCAAGGCCUAGCUUGGGGGAAUUUGUUCGUGUACACAUAUCUAUGGAUAUCCGUAAACCUUUGCUGCUUGAUAAACUAGUUCCGGUGGGAGAUUCAGAUUAUGUUUGGGUCCGUCUUAAAUUUGAAUGGCUGCCACAAUUCUACUAUUAUUGUGGGUUACUGGGACAUGGCGAGCGUGAUUGCCUGCAAUGGAUCAAUUCUAAAGGUGAUGCUGGAGAAUCUAAGUUUCCUUAUGGCUCAUGGUUGCAGGUGGGGGAGUGCUUCUGUGAGAGCAUGAAAUGAUCAUAUGAACUUGUCUACUGAAGGAGGCCUCAGACAUUCUUCUUCUGUUGGUGCUGAUCAAAUCUUUUUGCCAGCGACAGAUCUGAUGGUAGUUCUUGUUUCUCCAUCACAACCGUUGACAGUUGUAAACAAUAAUCUUUUGUGUAAAACUGCUAAGGGGGUGGUUAAUAAUCUAACUGUUGGGAAAACUGAUGGGCCUAGCAUGGGCUUCGAGCCCAAUUCUAAUUUAACUCAACAGAUUUCAUUGCCAAUGUCGUAGACCCACUCAAAACUAGCAUCUUCUUCUUCUCAUAAGGAAAAAUAGAGCAUCUCAAGGGCAGAUCGUUCCCGUCGUGUACGGCUGUCUCGACCUCUGCUAACUCCUUCAAAGCGACAGUUGAAUGCGAAGGUCUUAGGAGAUUCAGGUACAUUGCUUCACUUGAAGAAGUAAAAAUCUGUUGGAGAUGUUUCUCUAGUGGAUGUCCAUAUCACAUGACGGAGGCUGAGAUUCAGCCCGCCGACAACCAUGAAAAUCAUGAACUAGAACUCCCAGGGGCUUGGGAACUCUCAGGGAGUUCAAACCCUCCGAGACCUAGUUCAGAGAGAAGAUCCUGAUAUUGUCUUCGUUAUGGAGACAUGUUCUGGUUAUUCUCGUAUAGAGGUCCUAAAGUUUCAAUUGGGAUUUUCUUGUUUCUUAACGGUGGGUAGCAUUGGGCGGAGUGGUGGACUAUGCCUCUUUUGGCAUUGGGAGGUAAAUCUUGUUUUACAUUCUUAUUCUCAAUUUCAUUUUGAUGUGUUUGUUUCGGACCCAAUCGCUGGAGUUUCUUGGCAUUUGUCUGCAAUUAAUGGGCAUCCGGAGAUGAAUCUUAGAAGGAAUACUUAGGCCUUGUUACGUUUAUUGAAAGAUCAAUUUAAUGGGUCAUGGUUAUGUUGUGGGGAUUUUAAUGAGAUUUUGGGAAUUUCUGAGAAAUUGGGUGGUCAAGAGAGGCUUGCUAGUCAGAUGAGGGGUUUUCGGGAUGCUUUGGAUUACUGUCAAUUACGUAGUCUACCUGCUGUAAGGCCUUUGUUUAUAUGGAGUAAUUUGAAGGAGGGGUCUACUCUUGUUCAUGAAAGGUUAUAUAGAUUUGGUAGUAAUGUGGAUUGGCUUGAAUUAUACCCCUAUUGUAGAGUUUCCAAUCUUAUUACCCCAGUUUCACAUCAUAAUUGCUUGAUUUUGAGCACGGAUGCUUUAGUGCAAACUGUCUCCAAGAAAUCUUGCUUGUUUAAGUUUGAAUCCAUGUGGAUGGGAGAAAGGAGUUGUGAGGAAUCUAUUGCAAGUGCUUGGUCUUUAAACUUUAAUGCCUCAUUUAUUGAUAAAAUAAAGUAGUGCCAUAGUAAUUUGACAAUAUGGAGUAAGCAAUUUUUUGGCAAUGUUAGACAUAAACUGGCUAUAAAAAGAAAGGAAUUGGAAUAGUUAUAGGAUGUAUCUUAUCCCUCUUACCCAUUGCAUGAAAUAAGUUGUGCUAAACAUGAUAUUAAUUAUCUUUUGGAGAAGGAAGAAUUAAUGUGGAAGCAAAGGUCCCAUGUGCAAUGGUUGGCUGAUAGGGAUCAAAAUACUAAGUUCUUCUAUUUUAAGGCUUCUCAAAGACAGAGACGCAAUUUUAUUUCCAGGCUAAGGAAUGAAAAGGGUGUUAUGCAUGAAGGAUCUAAAAUGCUUCCACUGUUACAUGACUAUUUUUCAACUUUGUUUUGUACAACUAGUCCUUCUAAUUUUGAUGCAGUUUUUCAGCUUGUCUAACCGUGCAUUUCUGAGUCUAUGAAUGGUGAUCUGAUGCGUGUGUUCACAGCAGUUGAGAUAAAGGCAGCUUUGUUUCAGAUGGAACCAUUGAAAGCUCCAGGCCCAUAUGGUGUAAUGCUUCUUGAUUGAAAUCUUACACAUAUUGUGUUGAUUACGAAGACCAAAUAGCCUGAGUAUCUAAAGGACUAUCGACCCAUUAGCUUAUGUAAUGUGGUCUAUAAAGUUAUUGCAAAUGUAUUAUCUAAUAGGCUGAAAUUAGUUCUACCAGGUGUUAUUUCUAAAAACCAAUCAACUUUUUUCCAUGGAAGGCUGAUUACUGAUAAUGUUAUUAUGGAUUUUGAAACUGUGGAUGCUAUUAGAAGGAGGAAAUGUGGGAAGAAGGGUUGUAGGUCUAUUAAAUUGGACAUGAGUAAAGCUUAUGAUCGGGUUGAAUGAGUUUUUUCUGGAAAAAAUAAUGUUGUGUAUGGGGUUUCAUUCUCAAUUCAUUCACUUAAUAAUGAUGUGUAUUGCUCCAAUUUCAUACAAAGUACUUGUGAAUGGAUUCACCACUCAGCCUAUUAAGCCCAACUGGGUUACGUCAAGGGUGCCCUCUCUCUCCCUAUUUUUUAUGUGCUGAGGCUCUAUCUUUGUUACUGAAGCAAGCUGAAGAGCAACACCACUUGAGGGGUAUUAGUGUGUGUCAUAAUGCUUCCCGGGUUAGUCACCUAUUCUUUGCAGACGAUAGUAUUAUUUUCUGCCAAGCUUCUAUUUCAGAAAAUUAGUAUAUAAAAAAUUUGGUAUGUAGUUAUGGUGUGGCAUCAAGACAACAGCUAAAUAUGGGGAAAACAUAACUUCUUUUUAGUUGUAACACAGAGCCAACCAUUCAAACUGCUAUUCAAGGUGUGUGGGGUGUUCAGGAUAUUCAGCACCAUGCUAAACAUCUUGGUUUGCCUUCUUUGGUUGGAAAAUCAUGUUUCCAGACCUUUAAAAAAUUAAAAAACAAAUUUUGGGCAAAGUUGCAAGGGUGGAAAGAAAAGUUAUUGUCACAAGAUGGUCGAGAGGUGUUGAUUAAAGCUAUAGUCCAGACAAUACCCACUUAUACAAUGAGUUGUUUCAAACUUCCAAAGGGUUUUUGUAAGGAUCUCGAGGGGAUGUUUGCACGGUUUUGGUGGGGGCAAAGGGGUCAAGAAAGAAGGAUUCAUUGGUUGAAAUGGAGUAACAUGUGUCAGUCCAAAUUCAAUGGUGGUUUGGGUUCUCAGGAUUUGGAAACGUUUAAUGUAGCAUUAUUGGCUAAGCAAGGGUGGCGCUUACUUCAAUCUCAAGGGUCUCUUUUUGCAUUAGUGUUUAAAGCAAAAUAUUUUCCCAACUCUGAUUUUUUUAUCUUCGAUGCUUGGCUUCAAGCCAUCUUAUGUAUGGCGUAGCAUAUAUGAAGCAAAGUCUAUGAUCAAAGCUGGAAGUUUAUGGCGUAUUGGUAGGGGUGAUAAAAUCAAGAUUUGGACAGAUAAUUAGCUUGCUGAUUCAAAUUCAAGGAAGGUUAUUACUUGUUGUAAUACCCUUGUUGAGGAUGCUUGUGUAGCUGAUUUAUUGGAUGCUUCUUCUCCUAGUGGGUGGAAUAUUGGCUUGGUAAAAUAGGUAUUCCUUCCUUUUGAGGCUAAUACUAUUCUCAAAACUCUUUUAUUAGUACAUUGGGGUGAUGAUAAAUUAGUGUGGAGUGGCACUGAAAUUGGCAUUUUCACUACAAAUUCAGCAUACUAUCUUGCUCUUAACUUGAAAAUUGCUUUGGAGAGUGGUUCUAGUAAUCAAGAUUUGUCUUUCUCUUCUUUUUGGAAGGUUUUGUGGAAUUUACAGCUUCUACCUAAGAUAAAAAAAAAUUAUUUGGAGGGCUUGUAAGGGUAGUUUGCCUACAAAGAAGCUUUUAUUCCAACGGGAUAUUCUGGUUUCUUCCAAAUGUGAAUUUUGUCAUGGUGAUUGUGAAGAUGUUUUCAACAUUUUAUGUAAGUGUCCUUACUUUCUUAGAGUGUGGGAAAUGUCUUUUGGAAGAGAUUUGAGAUUGAUACAUGGAUAUUCUAGGUUUGAUAAUUUUGUCAAAGCAAUUAUGAGGCUUAAUGAUCAUCUUAUUUUGAUCCGCUUCUUGUUAACUGCUUGAGGUGUGUGGAAAUUUCAAAAUCUGAAGUUAUUUCGAUAGACAAACCUUGAGUGUGUGUUGUGGUUGGAAAUUGUUUUAAUUAUGUUGAGAACUACUAGUUAAUUCGAAAGCAUGUCAAUGGUCAUAACAAGCUUUCCACAUUGUGUUGGCUUCCUCCACCAUGUGGGUCUUUUAAGCUAAAUGUAGACGAAGCUAUUUUUAAUUCUUUAAAUAUUAGUGGGGUGGGUACUGUACUGCGGGAUGACAAGGGUUGUAUGGUUAUGGCAUUGUCGAGGAGGGAGUUGGGUAUUUAUGGGGUGGAAGGUAUAUAAGCACUUGCUGCUCUACGGGGCUUGCAAUUAAUUUCUCACUUGGGUAUAUCUUACUUGAUUUUAGAAGGGAACUCACUUGUUGUGAUCGAGGCAAUAUGCUCAAGGGGGGAGGAUCUGAAUCGGUGUAGUAUUUUAAUCCAUGAGGUGAAGAAUAUGCUAUCUAAUUUCCCUUCUUUUGAGGUUUUGCAUGUUGGAAGACAUGGAAAUGAGGUUGCACACACUCUAGCUUGUCAAGCUCAAUUUGUGGAUGAUACUUUGCAGUGGUGGAAUGAUCCUUCAGACUUUCUCCGCAAUAGACUUGAAGUGGAUGUAGCGGGUGUUCAUUGCGAGUUGUUGCUUAUUAGUUGCAUGUAAUUGUCACCAUGAUGAUGAAUUAUGUAUUUGACUACUAUUUCUAUGCAUGAAUGUCCAAGUUUUAUUCUCAAAAUAAAAAAAUAAAAAAGUUAAAAUAUCA
Carya illinoinensis is the source of this 5381-nucleotide long non-coding RNA. RefSeq lists it as uncharacterized. The record is from RefSeq and is a predicted model, not a curated record. NCBI's taxonomy places the organism in Eukaryota, Viridiplantae, Streptophyta, Magnoliopsida, Fagales, Juglandaceae. The transcript has 2 exons.